UACGAGGGGGGCGAGCGUUGUUCGGAAUUAUUGGGCGUAAAGGGUGCGUAGGCGGUUCGGUAAGUUUCGUGUGAAAUCUUCGAGCUCAACUCGAAGUCUGCACGAGAUGCUGCCGGGCUUGAGUGUGGGAGAGGUGAGUGGAAUUUCCGGUGUAGCGGUGAAAUGCGUAGAUAUCGGAAGGAACACCUGUGGCGAAAGCGGCUCACUGGACCACAACUGACGCUGAGGCACGAAAGCUAGGGGAGCAAACAGG
Molecule: ribosomal RNA, 253 nt
Filed under: uncultured bacterium
Lineage: Bacteria
Description: partial 16S ribosomal RNA
Rfam family: Bacterial small subunit ribosomal RNA
Source: RNAcentral